Molecule: ribosomal RNA, 567 nt
Filed under: Triticum aestivum (bread wheat)
Lineage: Eukaryota; Viridiplantae; Streptophyta; Magnoliopsida; Poales; Poaceae
Description: partial small subunit ribosomal RNA
Source: RNAcentral
AUGAAGCUCUCCUACCUUCUCCUCGCCGCCCUUUUUGCCGCGGCGUACGCGUCGUCGGAGAGAGCGAUCGCGGUCGCGGGCGCCGGCGGCCGCGGCAGCCUGUUAUCGGACCCGGAGCAGCAGUGCGUGUACACGGUGUACGUGCGGACGGGCUCGAUCUGGAAGGGCGGGACGGACUCGGCGAUCGGCGUGACGCUGCUGGGCUCGGACGGCACGGGCGUCCGGAUCGCCGACCUGGAGCAAUGGGGCGGGAUGAUGGGCGCCGGCCACGACUACUACGAGCGCGGCAACCUCGACAUCUUCAGCGGCCGCGGGCCCUGCAUGGAGCGCGCGCCGUGCUGGGCGAACGUCACCUCCGACGGCGCCGGCGCGCACCACGGCUGGUACUGCAACUACGUCGAGGUCACGGCCACGGGGCCCCACAUGGGAUGCGCGCAGCAGCUCUUCACCGUCGAGCAGUGGCUCGCCACCGACGCCUCGCCCUACCGCCUCUACGCCGCCGUCGACAACUGCGGCGACAAGCAGGCCGCCAAGGGCCAGGAGGCCAGGGCCAGCACCGCUCUGUGA